GAGUUGCGAACGGGUGAGUAACGCGUAGGUAACCUGCCUAUUAGAGGGGGAUAACUAUUGGAAACGAUAGCUAAUACCGCAUAACAGUAUGUAACACAUGUUAGAUGCUUGAAAGAUGCAAUUGCAUCGCUAGUAGAUGGACCUGCGUUGUAUUAGCUAGUAGGUAGGGUAAUGGCCUACCUAGGCAACGAUACAUAGCCGACCUGAGAGGGUGAUCGGCCACACUGGGACUGAGACACGGCCCAGACUCCUACGGGAGGCAGCAGUAGGGAAUCUUCGGCAAUGGGGGGAACCCUGACCGAGCAACGCCGCGUGAGUGAAGAAGGUUUUCGGAUCGUAAAGCUCUGUUGUUAAGGAAGAACGAGUGUGAGAAUGGAAAGUUCAUACUGUGACGGUACUUAACCAGAAAGGGACGGCUAACUACGUGCCAGCAGCCGCGGUAAUACGUAGGUCCCGAGCGUUGUCCGGAUUUAUUGGGCGUAAAGCGAGCGCAGGCGGUUAGAAAAGUCUGAAGUGAAAGGCAGUGGCUCAACCAUUGUAGGCUUUGGAAACUGUUUAACUUGAGUGCAGAAGGGGAGAGUGGAAUUCCAUGUGUAGCGGUGAAAUGCGUAGAUAUAUGGAGGAACACCGGUGGCGAAAGCGGCUCUCUGGUCUGUAACUGACGCUGAGGCUCGAAAGCGUGGGGAGCGAACAGGAUUAGAUACCCUGGUAGUCCACGCCGUAAACGAUGAGUGCUAGGUGUUAGGUCCUUUCCGGGACUUAGUGCCGCAGCUAACGCAUUAAGCACUCCGCCUGGGGAGUACGACCGCAAGGUUGAAACUCAAAGGAAUUGACGGGGGCCCGCACAAGCGGUGGAGCAUGUGGUUUAAUUCGAAGCAACGCGAAGAACCUUACCAGGUCUUGACAUCCCGAUGCUAUUUCUAGAGAUAGGAAGUUUCUUCGGAACAUCGGUGACAGGUGGUGCAUGGUUGUCGUCAGCUCGUGUCGUGAGAUGUUGGGUUAAGUCCCGCAACGAGCGCAACCCUUAUUGUUAGUUGCCAUCAUUGAGUUGGGCACUCUAGCGAGACUGCCGGUAAUAAACCGGAGGAAGGUGGGGAUGACGUCAAAUCAUCAUGCCCCUUAUGACCUGGGCUACACACGUGCUACAAUGGCUGGUACAACGAGUCGCAAGCCGGUGACGGCAAGCUAAUCUCUGAAAGCCAGUCUCAGUUCGGAUUGUAGGCUGCAACUCGCCUACAUGAAGUCGGAAUC
RNAcentral lists this ribosomal RNA (1251 nucleotides) under Streptococcus anginosus. RNAcentral describes it as "bacterial SSU rRNA". It matches the Rfam family "Bacterial small subunit ribosomal RNA", at positions 93 to 1333 of the family's 1533-position model. Lineage: Bacteria; Bacillati; Bacillota; Bacilli; Lactobacillales; Streptococcaceae. The record is from RNAcentral.